Molecule: transfer RNA, 73 nt
Filed under: Candidatus Woesearchaeota archaeon
Lineage: Archaea; Nanobdellati; Candidatus Woesearchaeota
Description: tRNA-Gly
Rfam family: tRNA
About the family: Transfer RNA (tRNA) molecules are approximately 80 nucleotides in length. Their secondary structure includes four short double-helical elements and three loops (D, anti-codon, and T loops).
Source: RNAcentral
GCGCUCGUGGUCUAAUGGCUCAUGAUUCUAGCCUUCCAAGCUGGAGGUAGGGGUUCGAUUCCCCUCGGGCGCA